CCCCCCCCCCCGGGUAAGCGUAUAGGCGGGUCUCGAUGAGAGUUGGGGCCGUAACGCUGAGACGUGAUGCCGAUCCAAUAGGAGAAGUCACUGAUCCCAUGCUGCCAAGAAAAUCCCAGCAGUGAGUUGGCACGGUGCCCGUACCCCAAACCGACACAGGUGGGCGGGUAGAGAAUACCAAGGCGAUCGGGAGAACUAUGGUUAAGGAACUCGGCAAAUUACCUCCGUAACUUCGGGAGAAGGAGGACCCUUACUGGUGACGAUCUUUACGAUCCGAGCUGGCGAGGGUGGCACAGACCAGGGGGUAGCGACUGUUUACCAAAAACACAGCAGCGUGCGAAGCCGCAAGGCGCUGUAUACGCUGUGACGCCUGCCCAAUGCUGGAAGGUCACGGGGAAUGGUUAGCUGAAAGGCGAAGCUAUGAACCUAAGCCCCAGUGAAUGGCGGCCGUAACUAUAACGGUCCUAAGGUAGCGAAAUUCCUUGUCGGGUAAGUUCCGACCUGCACGAAUGGCGUAACGACUUCCCCGCUGUCUCAACCAUAGACCCGGCGAAAUUGAAGUACGAGUAAAGAUGCUCGUUAGCUGCGGAAGGACGGAAAGACCCCGUGGACCUUUACUAUAACUUGGUGUUGAGUUUUGAAUUGCGUUGUGUAGGAUAGGUGGGAGACUUGGAAGCAUUGGCGCUAGCCAGUGUGGAGUCAACGUUGAAAUACCACCCUGCGUACUUUGGAGCUCUAACCCUGGUCCGUAAUCCGGAUCGGGAACAGCGCCAGGCGGGUAGUUUGACUGGGGCGGUCGCCUCCUAAAAUGUAACGGAGGCGCCCAAAGGUUCCCUCAGGCUGGUUGGCAAUCAGCCGUCGAGUGCAAUGACACAAGGGAGCUUGACUGCGAGACCUACAAGUCAAGCAGGUACGAAAGUAGGGCAUAGUGACCCGGCCAUCGCUUGUGGAAGCGUGGUCGCUCAACGGAUAAAAGGUACCCCGGGGAUAACAGGCUAAUCUUUCCCAAGAGUCCAUAUCGACGGAAAGGUUUGGCACCUCGAUGUCGGCUCAUCGCAUCCUGGGGCUGAAGCAGGUCCCAAGGGUUGGGCUGUUCGCCCAUUAAAGCGGUACGCGAGCUGGGUUCAGAACGUCGUGAGACAGUUCGGUCCCUAUCCUCCGCAGCCGUAGGAACAUUGACGAAGGCUGUCCCUAGUACGAGAGGACCGGGACGGACGGAGCUCUGGUGUGUCUGUUGUCCUGCCAAGGGCACGGCAGAUUAGCCACCUCCGGAAGGGAUAACCGCUGAAAGCAUCUAAGUGGGAAACCCGUUCGAAGAUGAGUGUUCCCAUGCGGUCAACGCAGUAAGGCCCGUGGCAAGACCACCACGUUGAUAGGCCGGAGGUGUAAGUGUGGCAACACAUUCAGCCGACCGGUACUAAUCGGCCGAGGGCUUGGAUCG
This 1441-nucleotide ribosomal RNA is filed under the name metagenome. Its description in RNAcentral is "bacterial LSU rRNA". It matches the Rfam family "Bacterial large subunit ribosomal RNA", at positions 1499 to 2925 of the family's 2925-position model. The record is from RNAcentral.